This 182-nucleotide unclassified non-coding RNA is filed under the name Glomus sp. RNAcentral describes it as "partial contains 5.8S ribosomal RNA and internal transcribed spacer 2". The stretch from base 1 to 65 matches the Rfam family "5.8S ribosomal RNA", at positions 84 to 154 of the family's 154-position model. Lineage: Eukaryota; Fungi; Glomeromycota; Glomeromycetes; Glomerales; Glomeraceae. The record is from RNAcentral.
GUGAAUCAUCGAAUUUUUGAACGCGAAUUGCACUCUCCUCGGAGAGUAUGCCUGUUUGAGGGUCAGCCUAUAAAAAAUCGACAUCGUUGCUGUUUCGCGGUGGCGUUCGUCGGAAAUUGGGUCAUCUUAAAUCUUUGGGUUAUGAGCGACUUAGUUUUUUCUUCGUGUUUACAUGAACGUUU